Mauremys reevesii (Reeves's turtle) is the source of this 385-nucleotide long non-coding RNA. RefSeq lists it as uncharacterized. The record is from RefSeq and is a predicted model, not a curated record. The transcript has 3 exons. NCBI's taxonomy places the organism in Eukaryota, Metazoa, Chordata, Testudines, Geoemydidae.
GACCCAAGUAGGCUUUGGGUGAAACCAGAGGCUGAGCUGAAAGAACUGAUGGGAAGAAGAACUCAGCCUGCACACAUAUUGCCUCGAAGGAGGGCUGUGAAAUCCUGAUCUCAAGGGGUUUAUUAUGCUGAGGUGCCUCCUCACGAUGCCUGGGCUGCUGCCACAAAAACUUAAUUUUGGAAAUUGAGGAUGGAAGUGUUUAUUUGGAGCGGGGAAAAGAGAUGCAUAAAAUUGCAUGGAUUUUGAAAAAACAACUGAAGAAAAAAGCUAUACAAGAGGAUUGCGUGGUCUUGUGUGGUUUUGAGAUGGGCAUCACAUGCUAUAAGUAUACAAGUGUACUUAGCAUGCUUCCUGGAUGCUAGCAAGCGGGGGAGUUGAGCGGGAG